This 1343-nucleotide ribosomal RNA is filed under the name uncultured bacterium. RNAcentral's name for it is "16S ribosomal RNA". It matches the Rfam family "Bacterial small subunit ribosomal RNA", at positions 28 to 1378 of the family's 1533-position model. The record is from RNAcentral.
GACGAACGUUGGCGGCGUGCUUAACACAUGCAAGUCGAACGGAAAGGCCCUGCUUUUGUGGGGUGCUCGAGUGGCGAACGGGUGAGUAACACGUGAGUAACCUGCCCUUGACUUUGGGAUAACUUCAGGAAACUGGGGCUAAUACCGGAUAGGAGCUCCUGCUGCAUGGUGGGGGUUGGAAAGUUUCGGCGGUUGGGGAUGGACUCGCGGCUUAUCAGCUUGUUGGUGGGGUAGUGGCUUACCAAGGCUUUGACGGGUAGCCGGCCUGAGAGGGUGACCGGCCACAUUGGGACUGAGAUACGGCCCAGACUCCUACGGGAGGCAGCAGUGGGGAAUAUUGCACAAUGGGCGGAAGCCUGAUGCAGCAACGCCGCGUGCGGGAUGACGGCCUUCGGGUUGUAAACCGCUUUCGCCUGUGACGAAGCGUGAGUGACGGUAAUGGGUAAAGAAGCACCGGCUAACUACGUGCCAGCAGCCGCGGUGAUACGUAGGGUGCGAGCGUUGUCCGGAUUUAUUGGGCGUAAAGGGCUCGUAGGUGGUUGAUCGCGUCGGAAGUGUAAUCUUGGGGCUUAACCCUGAGCGUGCUUUCGAUACGGGUUGACUUGAGGAAGGUAGGGGAGAAUGGAAUUCCUGGUGGAGCGGUGGAAUGCGCAGAUAUCAGGAGGAACACCAGUGGCGAAGGCGGUUCUCUGGGCCUUUCCUGACGCUGAGGAGCGAAAGCGUGGGGAGCGAACAGGCUUAGAUACCCUGGUAGUCCACGCUGUAAACGGUGGGUACUAGGUGUGGGGUCCAUUCCACGGGUUCCGUGCCGUAGCUAACGCUUUAAGUACCCCGCCUGGGGAGUACGGCCGCAAGGCUAAAACUCAAAGGAAUUGACGGGGCCCCGCACAAGCGGCGGAGCAUGCGGAUUAAUUCGAUGCAACGCGUAGAACCUUACCUGGGUUUGACAUGGAUCGGGAGCGCUCAGAGAUGGGUGUGCCUCUUUUGGGGUCGGUUCACAGGUGGUGUAUGGCUGUCGUCAGCUCGUGUCGUGAGAUGUUGGGUUAAGUCCCGCAACGAGCGCAACCCUUGUUCACUGUUGCCAGCACGUUAUGGUGGGGACUCAGUGGAGACCGCCGGGGUCAACUCGGAGGAAGGUGGGGAUGACGUCAAGUCAUCAUGCCCCUUAUGUCCAGGGCUUCACGCAUGCUACAAUGGCUGGUACAGAGAGUGGCGAGCCUGUGAGGGUGAGCGAAUCUCGGAAAGCCGGUCUCAGUUCGGAUUGGGGUCUGCAACUCGACCUCAUGAAGUCGGAGUCGCUAGUAAUCGCAGAUCAGCAACGCUGCGGUGAAUACGUUCCCGGG